RNAcentral lists this transfer RNA (69 nucleotides) under Rhabdosargus sarba (goldlined seabream). Its description in RNAcentral is "tRNA-Met". It matches the Rfam family "tRNA". Rfam says of the family: Transfer RNA (tRNA) molecules are approximately 80 nucleotides in length. Their secondary structure includes four short double-helical elements and three loops (D, anti-codon, and T loops). The record is from RNAcentral. Lineage: Eukaryota; Metazoa; Chordata; Actinopteri; Spariformes; Sparidae.
AGUAAAGUCAGCUAAAUAAGCUUUUGGGCCCAUACCCCAAAGAUGUUGGUUAAAGCCCUUCCCUUACUA